UUGGAGGGCAAGUCUGGUGCCAGCAGCCGCGGUAAUUCCAGCUCCAAUAGCGUAUAUUAAAGUUGCUGCAGUUAAAAAGCUCGUAGUUGAAUUUCGGGACCAAUAUGUCGGUCGUGCUUCUGUACGUACUGGCAUAAUUGGUUUCUCCCUUCUGAAGAACCUUGAUGUCAUUAAUUUGGUGUCUUGGGGAAUCAGGACUGUUACUUUGAAAAAAUUAGAGUGUUUAAAGCAGGCUCGCGCUUGAAUACAUUAGCAUGGAAUAAUGAAAUAGGACGUUUGAUUCUAUUUUGUUGGUUUCUAGGAUCGACGUAAUGAUUAAUAGGGAUAGUUGGGGGCAUUAGUAUUCAAUUGUCAGAGGUGAAAUUCUUGGAUUUAUUGAAGACUAACUACUGCGAAAGCAUUUGCCAAGGAUGUUUUCAUUAAUCAAGAACGAAAGUUAGGGGAUCGAAGACGAUCAGAUACCGUCGUAGUCUUAACCAUAAACUAUGCCGACUAGGGAUCGGAUGAUGUUAAUUUUUUAAUGACUCAUUCGGCGCCUUACGGGAAAC
Molecule: ribosomal RNA, 548 nt
Filed under: uncultured Rhizophagus
Lineage: Eukaryota; Fungi; Glomeromycota; Glomeromycetes; Glomerales; Glomeraceae
Description: SSU rRNA
Rfam family: Eukaryotic small subunit ribosomal RNA
Source: RNAcentral